CUCCAAAGAACUGACAGCUCUGACCCACAUACACACACACAAACACACACCAGCUUCCUUUAAUGAUUUAUUCAGAGUAAAUCUACAGAUGGCUUAAAGUCAGAAGACCUCAUCAUCGUGGAGAAGUUAGAGGUGGCCUCGCCUGGUGAUGACUAUAUUGUGAUCAUCUGACUUCUGUCUUUUUUUUUCAAAUGACUAAAAUGAACGCUUAUCUAAAGUUGGUUAUUUAACUUCCUCACGGUCUGCUCUUCCAACAUGGACUUUGUUUUGGUUUACACACUGAUACUUGCCUUACUUUCCAUCGGACAGAGUUGCACUGAGGGAAUAGAAAAAAACGAUUCAUGUUAUGAAGUGUGCCCACCUGGAUAUUAUCAUUUUGGUAACUGUGAUGAUCAAGCUGCAAAGUACAGAUGUAAGAAGUGCGGUACUGGCACAUUCACAGCCAUAAAGAACACUGCAAAGGCAUGCAUUAGAUGUGGCGUAUGUGGUAAUUUUGAGGUGGUAAAAACACAGUGCACCUGUGAUAGUGAUGUGAAAUGUGACUGUAUCAUGGGAUACUACUACAAUGGAAAUCCUUCCAUCGUUGAAAGGGCUUGCCGGAAAUGCAAUUCUAAAUACUGUAAAGAGAUUGAUACGAAGCCUGACUACAAAAGGAAUUGCCAGUCCUUCUGCCAGAGCAAGGAGUGUUUAGAACUCCCAGCACCUGCAUUUCCACCUUCUCCAAAUAUAUCUACAGCUGCAACUAUACCAACAUCUUC
Molecule: long non-coding RNA, 758 nt
Filed under: Cottoperca gobio
Lineage: Eukaryota; Metazoa; Chordata; Actinopteri; Perciformes; Bovichtidae
Description: lncRNA (ENSCGOG00000024041.1)
Source: RNAcentral